RNAcentral lists this ribosomal RNA (446 nucleotides) under uncultured bacterium. RNAcentral's name for it is "SSU rRNA". It matches the Rfam family "Bacterial small subunit ribosomal RNA", at positions 26 to 518 of the family's 1533-position model. The record is from RNAcentral.
AGAACGAACGCUGGCGGCAGGCCUAACACAUGCAAGUCGAACGCUCUCGCAAGAGAGAGUGGCGCACGGGUGCGUAACGCGUGGGAAUGUACCUCUAGGUACGGAACAACCCAGGGAAACUUGGGCUAAUACCGUAUAAUAUCUUCGGAUCAAAGAUUUAUCGCCUAGAGAUCAGCCCGCGUAGGAUUAGCUAGUUGGUGAGGUAAUGGCUCACCAAGGCUACGAUCCUUAGCUGGUCUGAGAGGAUGAUCAGCCACACUGGAACUGAGACACGGUCCAGACUCCUACGGGAGGCAGCAGUGAGGAAUAUUGGACAAUGGGGGCAACCCUGAUCCAGCCAUGCCGCGUGAGUGAUGAAGGCCUUCGGGUUGUAAAACUCUUUUAGAUGUGACGAUGAUGACGGUAACAUCAGAAAAGCUCCGGCUAACGUUCGCGCCAGCAGCCGC